UGUUGACAGUAUUGGUCAAUAUGAACCAAAGC
This 32-nucleotide non-coding RNA is filed under the name Rattus norvegicus (Norway rat). The record is from RNAcentral. Lineage: Eukaryota; Metazoa; Chordata; Mammalia; Rodentia; Muridae.